This 484-nucleotide ribosomal RNA is filed under the name uncultured bacterium. RNAcentral's name for it is "partial 16S ribosomal RNA". It matches the Rfam family "Bacterial small subunit ribosomal RNA", at positions 29 to 507 of the family's 1533-position model. The record is from RNAcentral.
AUUGAACGCUGGCGGCAUGCUUUACACAUGCAAGUCGAACGGCAGCGCGGGCUUCGGCCUGGCGGCGAGUGGCGAACGGGUGAGUAAUACAUCGGAACGUGCCCAGUAGUGGGGGAUAGCUCGGCGAAAGCCGGAUUAAUACCGCAUACGACCUGAGGGUGAAAGCGGGGGAUCUUCGGACCUCGCGCUAUUGGAGCGGCCGAUGGCAGAUUAGCUAGUUGGUGGGGUAAAGGCCUACCAAGGCGACGAUCUGUAGCUGGUCUGAGGGGACGACCAGCCACACUGGGACUGAGACACGGCCCAGACUCCUACGGGAGGCAGCAGUGGGGAAUUUUGGACAAUGGGCGAAAGCCUGAUCCAGCAAUGCCGCGUGUGUGAUGAAGGCCUUCGGGUUGUAAAGCACUUUUGGCGGGAACGAAAAGGACUGUGCCAAUACCACGGUUCGAUGACGGUACCCGCAGAAUAAGCACCGGCUAACUACGUG